RNAcentral lists this unclassified non-coding RNA (325 nucleotides) under uncultured fungus. RNAcentral describes it as "partial contains 5.8S ribosomal RNA and internal transcribed spacer 2". The stretch from base 1 to 133 matches the Rfam family "5.8S ribosomal RNA", at positions 22 to 154 of the family's 154-position model. Lineage: Eukaryota; Fungi. The record is from RNAcentral.
UGGUUCUGGCAUCGAUGAAGAACGCAGCGAAAUGCGAUAAGUAGUGUGAAUUGCAGAAUUCAGUGAAUCAUCGAAUCUUUGAACGCACAUUGCGCCCCUCGGUAUUCCGUGGGGCAUGCCUGUUCGAGCGUCAUUUAAACCCUCAAGCACAGCUUGGUGUUGGGUGCUUGUCCCGCCUCCGCGCGGCGACUCACCUCAAAGUCAUUGGCAGCCCGCAUCCGCCGGCCGUGAGCGCAGCACAGUCGCGCCCUAGGUCCCGGCAGGUCGGCUCUCCAGAAGCACUUCUUCCACCAUUGACCUCGGAUCAGGUAGGGAUACCCGCUGA